Diorhabda carinulata is the source of this 772-nucleotide long non-coding RNA. RefSeq lists it as uncharacterized. The transcript is spliced from 2 exons. NCBI's taxonomy places the organism in Eukaryota, Metazoa, Arthropoda, Insecta, Coleoptera, Chrysomelidae. The record is from RefSeq and is a predicted model, not a curated record.
GUUAUUCGUUAUUAGAUUGUAUUUAAGUCUCAUACUAUAAUAAGAUCACUAAUAUAAUACAUCUUAUUUUUUUAUAAACUAUCAGGUUUAACAGCGGAGUGGGUUAAUUUCUGGAACACUUAAUUAUCUCAUUUUGUGGUCGCCAAGGCGGCAUUGGGAUCGAGAGGUUUAUGUGCGCAUGCACAUGUACAUGCGCAAUGUAGUUUAACGGUAACAAAUUGUGUUAACCUAAUAAAAAUGUGUAUUAUUAAUAUUUUCAUAAGUAAUGAAUUAUUAUGAAUAAAAGUAGUUAGUAUGUAACGUGAUAUGUAAAAGUAGUUUAUGAUGUAAGUAUUAUGAAUCCUUAAAUUAUUGUUCCUGAUGUCAGCGUUUCAUAGUUGUAUUUUUUAGUGGAUGUGACUUAUGUCUUGGAAUUUGAGUUGAAUAAGAACAAAUAAUAAUAGUUGUGAAAAUGGUUAUAGAUAGAGGAGAUAUUCAAGAGCUGGAAUUGACCGAUGAAGAUUUUAUAGAAUUACUAGAAUUAGAACUGUUUCCAAGGACAUUUUUUUGACUGGAAUGAGGAGAAAUUUAUAGCUCUAUUUCGAUUAACCAAACUAACAGCCCAAUUUGUUAUAGAACACGCAAAGGUAUAAAAAACAUGAGAGAGAUUUAUGCAAUCACUAAUUAGGUAAAGGUAUUAUUAGGAGCACGAAUGAUUUGUUUAUUUUUCAUAUAUUAUCUUGCAGAGUUUUUGUUCAGUUUUUAUUCUUAUCAAUAAAAGCAUUUAAUAUAC